GGACGAACGCUUGCGGCGUGCCUAAGAAAUGCAAGUCGAACGGAAAGGUCCUUCGGGACACUCGAGUGGCGAACGGUCGCGUAACACGUAAGCAACCUGCCUCAAAGUGGGGGACAACAAUCCGAAAGGAUUGCUAAUACCGCAUGUGGCCAACGGGGGGCAUCCCCUGUUGUCUAAAGGAUUUAUUCGCUUUGAGAUGGGCUUGCGGCCCAUCAGGUAGUUGGUGGGGUAACGGCCUACCAAGCCUUCGACGGGUAGCUGGUCUGAGAGGACGAUCAGCCGGAUUGGGACUGAGAUACGGCCCAGACUCCUACGGGGGGCAGCAAUUAGGAAUCUUGCACAAUGGGCGAAAGCCUGAUGCAGCGACGCCGCGUGAAGGAUGAAGGAUUUCGGUCUGUAAACUUCUUUUAAGUGGGAAGAAAUUUGACGGUACCACUUGAAUAAGCCCCGGCUAACUACGUGCCAGCAGCCGCGGUAAUACGUAGGGGGCGAGCGUUGUCCGAAGUUACUGGGCGUAAAGCGCGCGUAGGCGGUUAAUUAAGUCUGUGGUGAAAGGUUCAGCGCUCAACGCGAACAUUGCCCUGGAUACUGGUUGACUUGAGUCUGGGAGGGGGUAGUGG
This 620-nucleotide ribosomal RNA is filed under the name uncultured bacterium. RNAcentral's name for it is "bacterial SSU rRNA". It matches the Rfam family "Bacterial small subunit ribosomal RNA", at positions 27 to 664 of the family's 1533-position model. The record is from RNAcentral.